Small nucleolar RNA from Diospyros lotus (date-plum), 88 nucleotides. RefSeq annotates it as small nucleolar RNA Z102/R77. NCBI's taxonomy places the organism in Eukaryota, Viridiplantae, Streptophyta, Magnoliopsida, Ericales, Ebenaceae. The transcript has a single exon. The record is from RefSeq and is a predicted model, not a curated record.
AAAUGAGAUGAUGAUUAGAAUUCUUUUCUUAUUGGUUUGAUCACCAAAAUGCUGGUGUAUGCUUAUGUAUUAGCUCUGGCUGACAUUC